GAUUAUGUUGUUCUCAAUCCGCUUACUAGAGCUCUCAAGGUGCUUCCCCCACCGCCUCUGAAAGAGGUUUCAAGGGCAGUCGUAUAUAUACUCCUGCGUCUUUGUUCUGCGCUGGUAUUGGAACCGUCCAUGCAGCGGUACUGGAUCUGUAUAGCAGAAGAGCGAUUGCAUGUAUAUGACUCAAGAUCAGGAGUGUGGGACCAAGUGGAUUACCUUCCUGGCUGGUCUCAUCUCACAUAUGGAGUGGGAAUGGCCAACAGCAAAGCUCAUUUUAAUUCGACUCAGGGGAUAUUGAGCUUCAACAUGGAAGAAAUGAGAUGGUCCAUCGAGUGGUCAUCAUCCAAUCGACCUAUGGGAGCUGGUUGGGCCAAUUGGGUGGUAACAACAGCACCCCAGUUCUUCAUUGUGGCUAUAGGAGCAGUUCGUGGGGUUGUGAAGAUGAUGCUAAUAAGGUUGGACUGUGCAUCCAAGAGAUUUGUUAAGGAGGCAAGCUUUCCUUACAACGAGGAAUACCAUCUUAUCCCUCCGGCCUGUUUCACCUUCAUGAUUCCGGAUAAGAGUAAGGUGUUUUUUUUGGAUUAUGAGAGUAAGACCUGGACUAACAUUCCAACUCAGAACCCUUCAGUUGUGAUGUCUGCUUUUCUGUUUGCACCAUCUUUGGUGCCUCCAUGAAAGUUAAUAUUUUAUGUUAUUAGAAUUUUCUUCUAGGCAUCCAAAUGUUUUAACAGCACUGAAGGAAUGUGGAAGGAAUGGAAGCGUAGAUCACGAU
RNAcentral lists this long non-coding RNA (769 nucleotides) under Selaginella moellendorffii. RNAcentral's name for it is "long non-coding RNA (SMOE_LNC001650)". Lineage: Eukaryota; Viridiplantae; Streptophyta; Lycopodiopsida; Selaginellales; Selaginellaceae. The record is from RNAcentral.